Molecule: ribosomal RNA, 382 nt
Filed under: uncultured eukaryote
Lineage: Eukaryota
Description: partial 18S ribosomal RNA
Rfam family: Eukaryotic small subunit ribosomal RNA
Source: RNAcentral
CAAUAGCGUAUAUUAAAGUUGUUGCGGUAAAAAAGCUCGUAGUUGGAUUUCUGGAUGGAGCGACCGGUCGGGCAUUAAUUUGUCUGCACUGGAGUCGGUUCCGUCCAUCCUCUUGGAAAGUGCGUGGGGCAUUAAGUUGUCUGGCGUAUGAUCCAAGUCGUUUACUGUGAAAAAAUUAGAGUGUUUAAAGCAGGCCUUCGCCUUGAAUACAUUAGCAUGGAAUAAUAAGAUAGGACUUUGGUCUAUUUUGUUGGUUUGCAGACCGAAGUAAUGAUUAAUAGGGAUAGUUGGGGGCAUUCGUAUUCAAUUGUCAGAGGUGAAAUUCUUGGAUUUAUGGAAGACGAACUACUGCGAAAGCAUUUACCAAGGAUGUUUUCAUUAA